RNAcentral lists this non-coding RNA (23 nucleotides) under Arabidopsis thaliana (thale cress). The record is from RNAcentral. Lineage: Eukaryota; Viridiplantae; Streptophyta; Magnoliopsida; Brassicales; Brassicaceae.
ACGCGUGAGAGACUUGUUGUCAA